GAUGAACGCUGGCGGCGUGCUUAACACAUGCAAGUCGAACGGAAAGGCCCAAGCUUGCUUGGGUACUCGAGUGGCGAACGGGUGAGUAACACGUGGGUGAUCUGCCCUGCACUUCGGGAUAAGCCUGGGAAACUGGGUCUAAUACCGGAUAGGACCACAUUUUGGAUGGUGUGGUGGAAAGUUUUUCGGUGUGGGAUGAGCUCGCGGCCUAUCGGCUUGUUGGUGGGGUAAUGGCCUACCAAGGCGUCGACGGGUAGCCGGCCUGAGAGGGUGUACGGCCACAUUGGGACUGAGAUACGGCCCAGACUCCUACGGGAGGCAGCAGUGGGGAAUAUUGCACAAUGGGCGCAAGCCUGAUGCAGCGACGCCGCGUGGGGGAUGACGGCCUUCGGGUUGUAAACUCCUUUCGCUAGGGACGAAGCGUUAUGUGACGGUACCUGGAGAAGAAGCACCGGCUAACUACGUG
This 466-nucleotide ribosomal RNA is filed under the name uncultured bacterium. RNAcentral's name for it is "partial 16S ribosomal RNA". It matches the Rfam family "Bacterial small subunit ribosomal RNA", at positions 28 to 507 of the family's 1533-position model. The record is from RNAcentral.